RNAcentral lists this ribosomal RNA (468 nucleotides) under uncultured bacterium. RNAcentral describes it as "bacterial SSU rRNA". It matches the Rfam family "Bacterial small subunit ribosomal RNA", at positions 43 to 507 of the family's 1533-position model. The record is from RNAcentral.
CAGGCCUAACACAUGCAAGUCGAACGGUAACAUUUCUAGCUUGCUAGAGGAUGACGAGUGGCGACGGGUGAGUAAUACUUAGGAAUAUGCCUUUGCGAGGGGGAUAACUAUUGGAAACGAUAGCUAAUACCGCAUGAUGUAGUAAUACCAAAGGGGGCUUUUAGCUCUCGCGCAAAGAGUAGCCUAAGCGAGAUUAGCUAGUUGGUGUGGUAAAAGGCGCACCAAGGCGACGAUCUCUAGCUGUUCUGAGAGGAAGAUCAGCCACACUGGGACUGAGACACGGCCCAGACUCCUACGGGAGGCAGCAGUGGGGAAUAUUGCACAAUGGGGGCAACCCUGAUGCAGCCAUGCCGCGUGUGUGAAGAAGGCCUUCGGGUUGUAAAGCACUUUCAGAUGUGAGGAAGGGUUUGUAGUUAAUAGCUGCGAGCUGUGACGUUAACAUCAGAAGAAGCACCGGCUAACUCCGUG